This 2173-nucleotide long non-coding RNA is filed under the name Homo sapiens (human). RNAcentral's name for it is "HSALNT0123769". The record is from RNAcentral. Lineage: Eukaryota; Metazoa; Chordata; Mammalia; Primates; Hominidae.
GGAGGGCAGUGGUGUGAUCUCGGCUCACUGCAAGCUCCGCUUUACAGGUUCAAGCGAUUCUCUUCAGCCUCCUGAGUAGCUGGGACUACAGGCAUGCACCACCAGGCCUGGCUAAUUUUUUUGUAUUUUUAGCAGAAAUAGGGUUUCACCAUGUUGGUCAGGCUGAUCAUGAACUCCUGACCUCAAAUGACCCACCUGCCUCGGCCUCCCAAAGUGCUGGGAUCACCUGCCCACUCCCUUGGUGAGGAGCCCCCUAGGGCACCUCCACCUCCUGGAGCACAAAUGUUGUUGAGAUGAGCAGCUUGAGACAUGGUAUGGACCUAUGCGGAGGUGUCCCUAGACAAUGAUGGCAUCAGAGUGAGAGGCUGGAUGAGGAUGUGUCUGGGGGAGCUUCGAGGUGCUGUGAUGUGUAAGAGAUCAUUAAUUCCAGGAUGCCACCCCAAGGAGAAUAUGCAUGGACCAAAGAUGAGGGGUCCCCAGGAGGGUGAACCAAUAGUAAGGCCCCCAGAUUCCAUCCCUAGCCAGGCUCCCUGCUAAGUGGCAAUUAGAAAAAUUCCUCUUUACAGAAAACAGAGCAUCAAUUAGGUCCCCAAUUACAGAGCCAGUCCUCUACCCUCUAGUGAAAGCUUCCAGUGGACAAGAAAAGCUUGAGAAAGCCAGAAGGAAUAGGAACCCACAGCUCAGGCCGGGCCGAGGCUUCAUAAAUCAAAAGGACAUUUUUUUUUUUUGAGAGAUAAGGUCUCACUCCAUCACCCAGGCUGGUGUGCAGUGACCCAAUCAUGGCUCACUGCAGCCUUGAACUCGUGAGCUCAAGUGAUCCUCCCAGCUCAGCCUCCUGAGUAGCUGGGACCACAGGUGCACACCACCAUGCCUUGCUAACUUUUAUUUUUAUUUUUGAGACACAGUCUCGCUCUGUCACCCAGGCUGGAGUGCAAUGGUGCAUUCUUGGCUCACUGCAACCUCCGCCUCCUGGGUUCAAGUGACCCUCCUGCCUCAGCCUCCCAAGUAGCUGGAAUUACAGGUGCAUGCCACCAGGCCCAGCUAAUUUUUGUAUUUUUAUAGAGACAGUGUUUCACCAUGUUGGCCAGGCUGGUCUUGAACUCCUGACCUCAGGUGAUCCGCCCACCUCAGCCUCCCAAAGUGCUGAGAUUACAGGCGUGAGCUACCGUACCCAGCCCAUGGCUAAUUUUUAAACUUUUUUGUAGAGAUGGAGUCUCACUAUGUUGCCCAGGCUGGUCUCAAGCUCCUGGCUUCAAGCAGUCCUCCCACCUCAGCCUCCCAAAGUGCUGGGAUUACAGGCAUGAGCCACCAUGCCCAGCCGCAGAAGGGCAAUUAUUACACAGUGACAGUGGAAGGAAGAGAGAGACACAGUCGGUGGAUGGUGGGAAGAUAAGAACAUUCACUCUGAGGGCUUCUAGUAAUGUUGGAGAAGUGAGUGUCAGCUGAGCAGAAGGGAGGGAGGGAAGGAAGCACAGGAGGUUUGAGGAGAGAGAGAGAGGAAGUAUGAAAUCGCUGUUGCAAACCUCCUGGGGGAAUGUAGAGGGGUUGCCAGGAAGCCCACUUGAAGUCUGAAUUUAAAGUGAAAGUCCAGCCAGGCGUGAACCACCUCGCCCUGCAGGAGUUGAUUUUAAUUAUGAACCAUGAUUAAGGAAGGCAAUGACCACAGAGAGAGUGACAAUGAGGUGGGGAGGCCAAGUGGAGAGUUCUGGAGCAACAGAAGAGAGGUCAGCAGAGAGCUGUCUGAAGUCUCCUUUCUGGGUGAUGGAGGGUCCCAGGUGUGACCGCAGGCAGGGAGUGGUGGCUGAGAGGCAUGUUGGAAAAGCUCACUGGAGCUGCAGCAGUCUAAGUGCCCAGAGAGAUGCGGAGUAGGCUGGCCUGUCCACGUGGGUGACGACACCAACGUCUUGUAUGAAAUCACUGUUGCAAACCUGCUGGGGGAAUGUAGAGGGGUUGCUGCUCUACAAGACGGCAAGAAGGAUGGAGAACGCAGUCAGCCAGGAACACAAGUCCUCAAUGGAUGACGAGGUGCAAGCGGAAGACCAGCAGACAGCAGUCACUGAGAGGGACAGCAGGUGACUCCGCUGCCUUUGAAAGAGAAAGGUCUUGGACACGACCACAGGAACCAUGAAGGAUAUAGACCCUACCUUAGAUUCUACAGUACGUGGGGUAUAGG